CCUACGGGUGGCAGCAGUGAGGAAUAUUGGUCAAUGGACGAGAGUCUGAACCAGCCAAGUAGCGUGAAGGAUGACUGCCCUAUGGGUUGUAAACUUCUUUUAUAUGGGAAUAAAACGUUCCAAGUGUGGGAUUUUGUAUGUACCAUAUGAAUAAGGAUCGGCUAACUCCGUGCCAGCAGCCGCGGUAAUACGGAGGAUCCGAGCGUUAUCCGGAUUUAUUGGGUUUAAAGGGAGCGUAGGUGGAUUGUUAAGUCAGUUGUGAAAGUUUGCGGCUCAACCGUAAAAUUGCAGUUGAAACUGGCAGUCUUGAGUACAGUAGAGGUGGGCGGAAUUCGUGGUGUAGCGGUGAAAUGCGUAGAUAUCACGAAGAACUCCGAUUGCGAAGGCAGUUCACUGGACUGUAACUGACACUGAGGCUCGAAAGUGUGGGUAUCAAACAGGAUUAGAUACCCCGGUAGUC
This 460-nucleotide ribosomal RNA is filed under the name uncultured bacterium. RNAcentral's name for it is "partial 16S ribosomal RNA". It matches the Rfam family "Bacterial small subunit ribosomal RNA", at positions 338 to 795 of the family's 1533-position model. The record is from RNAcentral.